RNAcentral lists this ribosomal RNA (440 nucleotides) under uncultured bacterium. Its description in RNAcentral is "partial 16S ribosomal RNA". It matches the Rfam family "Bacterial small subunit ribosomal RNA", at positions 338 to 795 of the family's 1533-position model. The record is from RNAcentral.
CCUACGGGUGGCAGCAGUGGGGAAUAUUGCACAAUGGGGGAAACCCUGAUGCAGCGACGCCGCGUGAGUGAAGAAGUAUCUCGGUACGUAAAGCUCUAUCAGCAGGGAAGAAAAUGACGGUACCUGACUAAGAAGCCCCGGCUAACUACGUGCCAGCAGCCGCGGUAAUACGUAGGGGGCAAGCGUUAUCCGGAUUUACUGGGUGUAAAGGGAGCGUAGACGGCAGCGCAAGUCUGGAGUGAAAUCCCAUGGCUUAACCAUGGAACUGCUUUGGAAACUGUGCAGCUAGAGUGCAGGAGAGGUAAGCGGAAUUCCUAGUGUAGCGGUGAAAUGCGUAGAUAUUAGGAGGAACACCAGUGGCGAAGGCGGCUUACUGGACUGCAACUGACACUGAGGCUCGAAAGUGUGGGUAUCAAACAGGAUUAGAUACCCGGGUAGUC